UCCACGACCCAGAUGGUUCCAUGAUUGAAAUCUGCAAUUGCGACAAUCUCCCAGUCGUCCCUCUCGCUGGAGAAGCUAUUCGUUCUUGCUCUCUCAUCAACUGCACCAUCCAGCAGCAGCAGCAGCAGAAGGAGCUCUUGAACAAGCUCUGCAAAUGAUGAUGAAAUGAAACACCGAUGAUGAUGACAUAUGUAGUGGUGUAAUGAAAUGUAUGUGUAAUGUUAUUCUAGUGUGAAUUUGUCUGUGUCACCUCUGUUGACAUGCAGCUAGCUAGCAGGGGGGAAUUUUGAAGUUUCCCCCUUCACUACUGAUGGAUGAUACAGAGUGCGUACGGAUGCAAAUUGAAUAAAUGUAGUAAUGAUUAGUUGUUUGUUUCAAUGUAUAGUUUCUUGAUCGCCAUCCUGUACACAUUGGCAAGAGAGAAAGAGAGGCAAUAAUUGAGGAGCUAGCUAUAAUUGUGGUUGUAUGCAUUUCUGCAAACACUUGGUGGGUAGGCCUGAAUUCCCCUACGUAACCUUGAACAUUUGACGUCCGCUUUCUUGUCAAAUUGUGGGUGGGGGAACUUUACUGCCGUAACUCAAUUACCCAGCUACCGCACUAUCGUUUGAUCGUGUCUUCUCUUCUCUCAAAGCCCAGACCCACAGCUUAAGGUAUUAUUCUAGUCGCAGAGUUAUUUGCUGAGUAGUU
Molecule: long non-coding RNA, 687 nt
Filed under: Linum usitatissimum (flax)
Lineage: Eukaryota; Viridiplantae; Streptophyta; Magnoliopsida; Malpighiales; Linaceae
Description: long non-coding RNA (LUSI_LNC003742)
Source: RNAcentral